Molecule: long non-coding RNA, 2516 nt
Filed under: Equus asinus (donkey)
Lineage: Eukaryota; Metazoa; Chordata; Mammalia; Perissodactyla; Equidae
Description: lncRNA (ENSEASG00005032836.1)
Source: RNAcentral
CACCGCUCGGUCAAGCCACACUGUGGCGGCAUCCCACAUAAAAUAGAGGAAGACUGGCACAGAUGUUAGCUCAGCAACAACCUUCCUCACCAAAAUUAAAAAAAAAAAAGGCAAACUCAGAAACAAAAUGAAAUACUUGACACAAAUAGACUAAAGCAAACAAUAAUACCCUAAGUCUGCAAAGGGCUCUUUUAAAUUUAUCGAAAAACGGUCAGUUGGCAAUAGGCAGAGGACAUGAAUAGACAGUUCGUUGAAGAAAAAUACAAAGGUAUCAACACAUGAACCAAUGGAAGUCUGGCCUCACUAGGGAGCAAUCAAGGGACAGUGGAAUCAACCACAAUCAUGCCACAGUGUUUGGAGUAAGGAUGUUGUGAUGUGGACAGCUUCCCAUACUGUCGGUUGGAACACAUUAGAACCCUAAAAUAACGACACAAAGGUUACACCCUUUGAUCCAGAAAUUCCACUUCUGAGAAGCUAUCUUGAGAAACUAUUUGCAGAUACAAAUAUGUAAAGGUGAGAAUAUUCACUGAAGUAUUAAUAUCCCUAGUUCCACCUCUUACUAGUCACCAAACCUCACUAAACCUCAGUUUCCUCAUCUGUGAAAUGGGAAUUAAAAUAGUACCCAAUCGUAGGGCUGUCAUGAAGAUUCAGCGUGAUGGUACAUGUAAACUUUUUAGGAAGAAGACCUCUUACAUAGUAAUAACGUAGCAGAUCACAACUACUUUUUAAAAGUAAAAUAAUAGAGAAAAGGAAAGUGUUGCAUGAGAAGCAAGGUCCGAGGUCAGAGGACAUCAGUCUUUGGUCUAAUUUCAGGCCAGUCUCCUAUGUGUAAGAUUUGCAUGAAGAGUGGAAAAGAUGCAAGGACACUUCCUUGGAUUCAGCCUUCCCAGGCCAACUUGCCAAAUUAAUGAGGAAUAAAGCUUCCGUCUACUCAACAGCUACCACCCUCUUCCCAUGGAUCAGGACUGAAAUGUACUGCUGCAAUGCCAUUCACGGCCUGGGAUAAAAAGAUGAGAAACUGAGGCCUGGAGAAGGCCCCACAGAUGGUUGAGGAGAGCCAGAUCAUGAACCAACAUCAUGGCACAUCUCGCCUGAAGAACCCACACCAGUUCCAGAGCCUUCAGGAAGUCCUUCCCAUCUACUCACUUCUUCCUGCCUCCAGUGGUUCUGGAAGAAUUCAGAGAAUGCCUCAUUUGCAGGGCUAAAAGAAGCCUAUGGAGGCUUCCAUUCCUGUCCUGGGCAUGUAGGCACAAACAAGAGUCAUCUCUACCCCCAGUAAGAAGGGUUACUGCAUAAGUGAACACAACAGAAGAGAAGCCUGCCCAAGGCCUCCCCAGAGAUUUGGCUUUCCGCCUCCUGGAAAUUGGUUUCACCUAAGCCAAGAAACCAGUUAUCAGAUGGGAAUGGCAUUCUGUCAUCCCAGCCUGGGUCACCAGACACCUAGAGGUGAGAGUCUUUGGGACAUAUUUCCCUGAUUAAACCAUCAUGGCAUCCUUCUGACACGUAAGUGUGGAAGAAAGGAAUGUGUUACCGGGACCCAGUGAACAAAUCUUUUUAUAGCAUGACGUUGGACAUGAGGAUGUGGAUGCCUGAACACUAACAACACUUCAGUAAAGAACUAUCUUCAGUAGAGGCCCUCCCAAAUGCCAUCCCACAGUGACACAGAGGGAACAGUCUGAAGAAACUGCAAAGAGCUGCAUUAUUUGUAAGCAGAAAGUGGGAACCAGAUUGUAUCACAGCUGCUGAGGACAGAACAAAAACAAGUGGCCCUGAGACGAUCAGAAGGAAAUAUGGGCCAACGGAGACUGCAGACUCUCUGUUUCCCAUUGUAGAUUUUUAAAACAUGAUAGUUUCUUCUAUCUGGGGAACUAUUUAAUUGUGGUCACUUUUGAAGGCAGAAGCCUAGUCUCCACUUGGGGGAAUGGGACCAAUAUGGAUAAUAUAGCUUAAUCUGAUGCAGUCAAGAAGGGGUGGAGCAAGGAAAUGAAUAUUUAUUGAUUGUCUAUGAUGUGCUAGUCAUUUUUCAAUCAUUGACUUAUUUAAUCUUCCAAACCACACCAGGAGGUUGCUAUGACUAUCUCUCCCUUUCAAAACAGGAGGAUGGGGCUCAGGAAGCUAAGGGAACCCACAACCAAGGAGAGGUGGGAAGCGGAUCAGGGCUUUGAAGUCUUUUCUUACUAAGAACAAGGACAACCCCCAACCUCAGAUGCCAAUCAUUACAAUUAUGUUAUGAAAUUAAAUAUUUUCUUAAAAAGAAAAAGCAAGGAGGCAGCCUCUGGUAUAUAGUUUAUCUGCCAAGCACCAGUGCCUUUCCGUGGUUCUGACUCAGAGACUGCUUCCAUGGCCUUCUAGGCAAAGAACCUAGAGUUUUCUGCAUCCCUAUGCCCACCUCUGCCUGAUCCUUUUCCGAUAGUUUCAAAGAUGUGGCCAGGAUCACCUGUAGUGUCUCCUUGACUGUCCAAAUGAGCAUCACAUCAGGGUGACCUCUGCCCACAGGUAGGUGGAGACGUCUUGGC